Molecule: non-coding RNA, 199 nt
Filed under: Phocaeicola vulgatus
Lineage: Bacteria; Pseudomonadati; Bacteroidota; Bacteroidia; Bacteroidales; Bacteroidaceae
Also listed under: 1 other name
Source: RNAcentral
UAUCUUUGCAACGGAAUUAGUAAUCGGGCUAUCACAUAGCCCGAUGCAAGGGAACCCGGUGUAAAUCCGGGGCUGUACCUGCAGCUGUAAAUCCUCAUGAUGUUGAUUGGAUAGUCUAAAACCACUGUUUCAUUUGAAGAAAUGGGAAGGUUUCCAAUCAGAGGAAAGCCAGAAUACCUGCUAAGUCUGUUGAACAAUA